UUUAGAUUUAUAAAUAUAAUAAAAACAUAAGUACUAAUUAAAUAUAGUUAUAAUAUGAUAUUAGUAAGUUUUAGAGUAUAGUAGAAAGUAAAUAAAGUUAAAAAGGUCCAAAAUCCAAUCGUCUCCAACACUUCUCCAACCCAGGCUCUCUGCGAACAUCACCAGGUUCAAGACAGAAGAGAAGGAGAAGAUGUUGUACAUCAUAGGUUUAGGUUUAGGAGACGAAAGCGACAUAACCCUGAGAGGACUCGAGGCCGUCAAGAAAUCUCAGAAAAUAUCGCUUUUCUCGUUGUUGGUGAAUCGGUGAUCCCUUUGGAGCUACAACGCAUAGCGAUCUUGUUGUUAGAGCUAAGAAACGAGUGAAGGAGCCUACUUUCGAGUCUCUUUGCAGAGGAGGGAAGAAACAGUAUGAGCAGCUGCUGGAAGUUGAGCAGAAGCGUGGAGAUUCUGUGUACUCUGAAGAGACAGAGUGUGUGGGUUUUGCGAGGCUUGGCGCUGCGGACCAGAAGAUACUUUCGGGGACGAUUAAGCAAUUGGAGAGUGUUGAUUGUGGAGCACCGUUGCAUUGUCUUGUGAUAGUAGGCAAGACACAUCCCGUGGAAGAAGAGAUGUUGGAUGGAGUUUUACAAAUACGGAACUGCAAAUUAAAAGACCACAUGACUGAAGAAGGCUCAAGGGGGACGCAGGAACGAUCAAGAUGUCUCUCUGAGUAAGAGAUUGAAACUAGGAACAUUUUUAUGAGCUAUUUUUAUAUCUACUUUCAAUAAAGCUCUAGUGAGCCCAAUCUAGCUUGUUAAGGAUUUGCUUUCAGACUGUAUGUUUGUUUUCCCUUCAAACUGAGGAAAAAAUAUUAUUAUCCAACUUUGGUCUUGCUCAACACUA
Molecule: long non-coding RNA, 882 nt
Organism: Brassica napus (rape)
Lineage: Eukaryota; Viridiplantae; Streptophyta; Magnoliopsida; Brassicales; Brassicaceae
Exons: 3
Source: RefSeq, a predicted model, not a curated record